Molecule: ribosomal RNA, 254 nt
Filed under: uncultured bacterium
Lineage: Bacteria
Description: partial 16S ribosomal RNA
Rfam family: Bacterial small subunit ribosomal RNA
Source: RNAcentral
UACGUAGGGAGCAAGCGUUGUUCGGAUUUACUGGGCGUAAAGGGCGCGUAGGCGGCAUGACAAGUCACUUGUGAAAUCUCUGGGCUUAACCCAGAACGGCCAAGUGAUACUGUCGCGCUAGAGUGCGGAAGGGGCAAUCGGAAUUCUCGGUGUAGCGGUGAAAUGCGUAGAUAUCGAGAGGAACACCUGAGGUGAAGACGGGUUGCUGGGCCGACACUGACGCGGAGUGCGCGAAAGCCAGGGGAGCAAACGGG